This 1307-nucleotide ribosomal RNA is filed under the name Mantispa japonica. RNAcentral's name for it is "16S ribosomal RNA". The stretch from base 1056 to 1215 matches the Rfam family "Archaeal large subunit ribosomal RNA", at positions 2544 to 2703 of the family's 2987-position model. The record is from RNAcentral. Lineage: Eukaryota; Metazoa; Arthropoda; Insecta; Neuroptera; Mantispidae.
UAAUAAUAUUUUAUUAAUUAAUUAAUUUAUUAUGAUUUAUAAUAAAAAUAAUUUUAAUUUAUUAUUUUUAAAGUAUAUUUUAUAAAAAAAAUAAUUUUAAUUAUAGUUUAAAGUAUUGUGAAAGAAAAAUAUUUCUAUUAAAAAAGUAAAUUUAAUUUAUUGUACCUUUUGUAUCAGGGUUUAUUUAUUAAUUUUUAAUUAUAUUUAAAUUUCUCGAAUUUAAAAGAGUUAAAUUAAUAUAAAAGUUAUUGUUUUAUAAUUAUUUUUAAUAUUAAUUUAGUAAUGAAAUGUUAAACGUUUUUAAAUAUAUCUAGUUUUUUAAGAAUUAAAUUUAAUUUAGUAUAUUUUAAUAAAUUAAUUUUUUUAUAAAAAUUAAUUUUUAAAUUAUAAAAAUUAAUUAGGGAUUAGCUUAAUUAAUUUUAUUAUAAAUUUAAGUUAAUUAUAAAUAUAAUAGGAAUAAAAAUUUUCAUUUAUAAAUAAAGUGUUAUAAUUAAUUUAUUAUAAAUUUAAUUUAUUUAAUUUUAAAUUUUUUAUUAAAAUAAUAAAUUUAAUUACAAAUUUAUGUAAUAAUGAUAAAAUUAGUAUUAAUUUAUUUACAAGUAAAAAUUUUAUUUAGAUUAAAAUAAGGAAUUCAGCAAAUAUAAUACUCACCUGUUUAACAAAAACAUGUCUUUUAGAAAAUAAUUUAAAGUCUAACCUGCCCACUGAAUAAUUUUAAAGGGCCGCGGUAUAUUGACUGUGCAAAGGUAGCAUAAUCAUUUGUCUUUUAAUUGAAGGCUAGAAUGAAUGGUUGAAUGAAGUAUUAACUGUCUCAUUUUAAUAAGUUAAAAAUUUAAUUUUUUAGUUAAAAAGCUAAAAUAUUUUUAAAGGACGAGAAGACCCUAUAGAUCUUUAUAAUUAAAAUUUAAUUAAAUUUUAGUUAAAAAUAUUUUAUUUAAAUUAUAAUUAUUUUAUUGGGGUGAUAGAUAAAUUUAAAUAACUUUUUUUAUAUUUUAAACAUUGAUAUAUGAAUUAUUGAUCCUUUUUUAAAGAUUAAAAAUUUAAGUUACCUUAGGGAUAACAGCGUAAUUUUUUUAGAGAGUUCAUAUCGAUAAAAAAGAUUGCGACCUCGAUGUUGAAUUAAAGGUUAUUUUUAAAUGCAGAAGUUUAAAGUUUAAGUCUGUUCGACUUUUGAAUCUUUACAUGAUUUGAGUUCAAACCGGCGUGAGCCAGGUUGGUUUCUAUCCUUAAAUAAAAUUUAUAUUUUAGUACGAAAGGACCAAAUAUAUAAAAUAUUUUUUUAAGAAUAAUGAAUAUUAUUAAAUUUA